GGAACUGUCCUGGUUUUAGUACUGAAAGUACUAGGGUUUCUUGGGAAAACUCCUCAAUGUCAGGCACACAUGACGGGUCACCCCACAACCCUUCCCCAGGCAGUGAAGGCAGCCAACAUUGGUUGAGAGUCUGAGGUCUCUGCUACCCUCUGAAUACUCACAGCAGCCCUGCAAAGAAACUUGCUUUGCUUCCUCCGCUGAGCAGAGACAAGACUCAAAGAAGACUUGUCCGGGGCCACGUCUGCAUGCCCUCAUGUGACAGUAUCUGCUGUUUGUCUUCUAUGGGCCAGGCAUCACCCUGGGGGCUGGAGAUGCUGUGGUGAGCAAGGCAGUCUUUGCCUUUUUGGGGGGCUGCAUCUGCGGCAUGAGGAAGUUCUCAGUCCAGGGAUCAAACCUGCACCACAGCAGCAACGCAAGCCGCUGCAGUGACAACACAGGAUCCUUAACCCACUGUGCCACAAGGGAACUCUGAGCAAGGCAGUCUUGGUCCCUGCCCCUGUUCUUGCAGUAGACCAGCUUCAGAUGGUUAUUUAAUUACAGCACGGGAUAAAUAACUAGAAGAGCAAGUCGAAGGGUUUAUGAGCUGAUAAGGGGCGAACCUAGUCUGGUCUGGUAAUGAGAAGCCUUCCUUGAGGAAGCGAUCUCAGCCUUAAGGCUUAGAUCUGAAAGAUGGGUGACACUCCUGCCACACUGGGCCAGACAACAGGAAUAUCAGGUGCAAAGGCUCGGAGGUGGGAACAGAACCUCUGUGUUCAAGAAAAGGUGGCAGCACAGAGAGGGAGAGGGAGAGCGAGGUAGAUGAGGCUGGAGGGUCAGUAGGGCCCAGGUCAUGGGUCACAGCGAGGAAUCUGAAUUUCAUCCUUACAGCAGAUGCCACUGGGCCCCCUCAGACACCCUGAAGGAGCAGGGUCCUUAUUCCCCCAGCUGCCAGGAGUAUUGGCAGCUGAUGGCUCAUAGCUGGGCAUAGCCCUCUGUCAAAGGGAGGUUCCUUCUUCUGGGAGAAACCCAUAGUCAAUGGCUUGUUGACAGGUGCAAGGACCGAGCUUUCUUGCUUUAGUUUUGGACAACUCUGAAGGGCCAUGGCGCUCCAAAGAUCCCCAUGGGAUCCACUGACGCCUUGGUUGCAACUGUUUAACCUUUUCCUCUUAUCGAAGCCUGCUUCCUAUCUUACAGAUGUUUGUCCCAAGAGCCCCGCCCCUCCAUCCCCCACCAAAUGCUAUCUCAGUCUCAGAAUAUAUUUCCUAGAGACCCAAGACAGUCCUCUCUCAAGGUACUGGGAAGCCAUCUCAGGGUUUUAAGUGGGGCAACCUGCUCAGAACUGCAUCUUAAAAAGGAGGUGACUUUUUAAGGGUGCAGCAAAGGGUGGACUGAAGUGGGUAUCAGGGAGGCAGAGACCAGGGAAGAUGCUGUUGUACUUAACUAGGGAGAAUCGGUCAAUCAGCCUGGACUAGGGGGGCGGGGUGGAGAGAAAGGGAAGCUGAGGGGCUUAAAGAGAUAUGUAGAUGUCUGUUCCCAAAGUCCAAGCAUUUUCCAUUAUUCUUUGCUGGCCCCAAAGGUGUCUCAGGCUUGACUGCUCUCUCUGGGACACAGGGUCCAUGGUUUUUAUCAAGGUGGGUUAGAACUAGGCUAGGAUUGGGUCCCCUAUACUCAGGAGCAUCUGUGUGAGUGUCCAUGGUGUGGGCAUGUGUGUUCAUCGCCCUGUGCAUUUGUGGUUUACCUGGGCUGAUUUGGGGACAAGAGCCAUGACCCCUGGAUUCUCUGAUGCUCACUCCCCUACCUGCUACGCUCCAUCUUAAACCUUGUCUGAAAUCUGUUGAUGAUGCUUCCAUGGUCCCGAUCAAAGAUCUUGGGCCAACACCUAAGACUAUAUCAGAACUUGGAGAAGGACCGGGGAUGGCUGCUGGACUAAAUAAACAGGAUAGAGACAAGAGAGUGGCCAUAGGUGGUAAGAAGUGAUAAGAGUUUGGAGGGAGGAAGGUGGUCUGGGUAGGAUUCUGAAGGAGGUGGCUUUGAAAGUGGGCUUCGGUGGAUUUGGGGAGACAAAACUGAGACGGCGAGCUGGGACCAGGUCCAUGAAGAUAUUGGACUGUCAGGGAAGGACUUCCACGGGCAGUGGGGACCCUGGAGCGGAGCCAGUCCAGAUUCCUUUCUCUUCAGCUCUGUUCAGUCCCCUGGGGACACUGACAUUGGACCUUAGUUUCCUAGCAACGGUCAUUGGCCAGAGGAAGGAUGUUCUCAGUGUCCAUUCUGUAUUUGGAGGCAGAAUCCCCUGAUCUGACCCACAGGUCUCUCCUCUGUCUGAAAGUGGACUCCGGGUUUCCCACACUCCCUGUGAGUUUCUGAAGUGGUCAUGCUUUCUUCAGAGCUGAGAUUUGGGUGAGACCUUCCAAACCUUUAACUUGUCAGGGAUGUUCUCAGAUUCCUAGAGGUGCAGAGGCGAAAGCACUGGUCAGGAUGCUUGGGUGAUCAUGAGCAAGUUAUUUAAGUUUUUAGUUUUAAUUUUCCAGCUGGAAAAUUAGAAUGCUAAUACCUGUAUCUCUUAGGAUAUUUUUUUUUUUCUGUCUGCAAAUAAAGAGAAGUCUCACUCCAGAUGACUUAAACUAGCACUUUCCAAUAGAAAUAGAAUGUAGGCGCCAAAUGUAAUUUAAAAUAUCCUAGUAGCCACAUUUAAAAAGGUGAAAUUAUUUUUAAUCACAUCUUUUAUUUAACCCAUUAUCCAAAACAUUAUCAUUGCCACAUACAAUUGAUAUAUAGUUAUUAGUGAGAUAUUUUACAUUUUUUUGGCACUAAAUCUUUUAAUUUUGGUGCUCAGUAAUCACCUACAUCUAGUGGAUACCAUAUUGAACCGCAUGGUUUAAACCACAGGAAUAGUUCUAAUCUCAUGCAAACAAGAAUCCAGAGGCAAGGAAGUCUCAGGAUUGGUCAAUUUGGAAGCUCAAGAGUAUAAGCAAUAACACAGGUUCCUGCCACCUUUUUGUUCUGCCAUCCACAAAGUUUUGUUCAGUUUUGUUCUUCGCUAGCUCUCCUCAUGGUCCCAAGAUGGCUGCCGCAGCACCAAGAAUCAUGUCCAUAUGCAACAACAUCCAGCAGAAAGAGAGGGUAGGUUUCUUUGCAUGUAUUUCUUUAUAAGAACUCUUUCUUGUCUCCCUUACCCCACCCCUCUAGCCGACUUACUUUUGGGUCUCAAUUCCAGAUUUCAUCACAUGCUCAUGUCUAAUCCAGUCAUUGGCAUGGUGGAUAGACUUGAAUGCUUGGCUUAGAGCCAUCAGGGUGUGCCCCUGGACUGGGGGACCUUUCUCUGAGUCAUAUGGGAGGAAUGCUGGACCCUGGGACAAAAUUGAGGCUCUAUUAGCAAUGAGGACAAUUGCAACAACCAAGGGUAGCUGAACAGCACCUGCUCCCCUGGUAAAAGGAUGUGAGCCUUAAGGUUGUUUCCCAAAGUGGGUUCCACGGAACACUAAUGCAGACAGAUGUUCUGCAGGAAGGGUCUUCUUAUUAAAUAGCGUCUCCUCACAGAGAUUCACAGUCCUUAGGAGCAUUUUAGGAGUUCUGACAAAGUCCCACGGUUAGGAAAACUUUCACUGAAUUUAAUCUCACACUGUCUUGACUUCGGAAUUGUUUUUCUUUCUUCCAUGAUAAGUUCACACCAUUUUGAGAAACACAUUUUUGGAGAUCCUGCCUUAGUGGAUUAUUAGGUUGUAGAGCAGAGGACAUCUUUAUGCUGCCACUUUAGCACCUUGUGGUGGGAACUGAAUGACCAGCACCAGUCAUGCUGGGGAAAUUCCUCCAGGCCAGAUGGAGGAAAGAGCCCCCAGGGGCUCAGGCCACAAGCAUCCCUUUCCUGAGAAAUAAUAAAAAGUUCAGGGAGUUCCCGUUGUGGCACAAUGGAAAUGAAUCCGACUAGUAUCCAUGAGGAUUCGGGUUUGAUCCCUGGCCUCUCUCAGUGGGUUAAGGAGCUGGCAUUGCUGUGAGCUGUGGUGUAGGUCUCAGACACGGUUGUGGCUGUGGUGUAAGGCGGCAGCUUCGGCUCUGAUUUGACCCCUAGCCUGGGGACUUCCAUAUGCCACAGGUGUGACCUUAAAAAAAAAAAAAAGUCGAAAAAUAAAAAAUAAAUAAAAUGUUAGUGAGAACAAAGAAAGAUUUUUUAAAUGCGUCACAUACCUUAUAAUUUAUUUUAAUUUAUAGCAUAUAGAGAAUGUAUAAAUAUUCAAUCUUUUUCAUUCACUAAUCUGUUGAUGGCAAUGGGGUUUCUGCUUUGCAUUCCCAAAACAUAUCAUCUACAAUUUCCAGUUUCUGUUAGUUUCUUUAAAAUAGAGCAAGAACCUAAAGACACUCGCAAAGCAGACUGAGUGUGGAAAAUGUCUAGAUUUUAAUAAUUUUGUUCCAAUCUUUUAUAGUUAUCCUGUUCACACCAAAUGUGAGGGUGACUUUAAAGGGACUCUCUUUUCUGAACAUCCCAAAGCAUCCAGCUUGUUUUCAGAGAAGUAAAACUUUCUUUUUCUGUAUGCUCAUCGUCCAUGGGUUUAGAGAACAAAUAUUAAUAAAUCAUGACAUUUCAAUAAUGAGUGCCAUGGAAGUAAACAGGUUUGGGAACAGUCUUAAAUAAACACACGUGGGAACAGAGGCAUGGAUUUGCUAGAGCGUAGGCUACCGGCCGGGCACCUCAGGGUGCCAAGGGCAUCAGUCAGCAGGUUUUAGAACAGUGGAUAGAGCAUGCUGGUUAACUGGAGGUCAACAGAGAGUUUUUACAACUCUCACCCCAGGAUGUGCAUUGGAAUCAUUUAGUGCUUGAGAGUUCCCGUCAUGGCUCAGUGUAACAAACCUGACUAGUAUCUGUGAGGACAAGGGUUCAAUCCCUGGCCUCGCUCAGUGGGUUAAGGAUCCACUGUUGCUGUGGCUGUGGUGUAGGCCAGCAGCUGCAGCUCCGAUUCAACACUUAGCCUGGGAGUUCCCGUCGUGGAGCAGUGGUUAAUGAAUCCAGCUGGGAACCAUGGGUUUUGGGUUCCAUCCCUGGCCUUGCUCAGUGGGUUAAGGAUAUGGCGUUGCCGUGAGCUUCGGUGUAGGUCGCAGGUGAGGCUUGGAUCUUGUGUUGCUAUGGCUGUGGUGUAGGCCGGCAGCAACAGCUCCGAUUUGACCCCUAGCCUAGGAACCUCCAUGUGCCGUGGGAGCAGCCCUAGAAAAGGCUAAAAGACAAAAAACCAACAACAACAACAAAAAAUACUUAGCCUGUGAACUUUCAUAUGCCGCAGGUGCAGCCCUAAAAAGACCAAAAAAAAAAAAAAUCAUUUAGAGCUUUAAAAAAUUCCAGUAUCCACAUCAAUUAAGUCGGGAGUGGAUCUUAUACUAUAGAUACGGCUUCCAGAAACUACUCCGUCCUGUGUGUCUUAGGGCAUACAGAAGCAAGUCUUACUGAUGAACAGACAGACCCCCGCAUGUUCUUUCUCCCAAGGACAGCAAUUCCGAGGCCUCCCUGACUAAGAGGUGUCCCCAAACCAGCGAAAGCUGGACAUCCCAGGACACAAGCCUGCUUUCUCACAAGCACACAGACCUAGGCAGAAAACCCCAGCUGCUCCCAUUCUCUCCCUCUGUCCUCUCUGGCUCCUCUUCAUCUUCCCAGUUAAUCCUUUCUGGGCCAGCUCUUCUGAGCAAAGACUCUGACCUGCCAAAACACAAGCCUACUGAGCACUCGCUAUGUGCUAGCUGCCUCCCAUAGAGUUCACUUAAUCUUUGGUCAACCAACCCUCCCCUGCCACCCAAGCCUUGGAUUGUCAUCUCUCUGGACACACUGCUGGAGCUGUCUAUCUCUGUGAUGACUGAUUAAAUCCAGUCUAUCUCUGGCUCUAGACUCCAAGCCCCUUGUGGGCAGGGAUACAUCUAUUUCUUCACACGGCAUGCCCAGCACUGGCCUUGGUAGGAAAGGCUUAAGGUGAACAAACAAUCGUAAUUAUGUAGCUGCCAGUGAAUGCAGGGUCCAUGGCAAAUGCUUGCUGAUGCAAAGAACAAAUGAAAAACCAUACAAAGUCCGUGGCACUGCCUCCAUUUCAUAGGACAACUGAGACUAACCGCACUUCAAUAACUUAUGCAUGUUUUAGAACAAUCUCGUGUCAGGGUUAAGGUUAAACCCAGGUUACUUUAGGAAUUUCCCGUUGUGGCUCAAUGGCAACGAGCCCGAUGGGUAUUCAUGAAGAUGUGAGUUCAAUCCCUGGCCUCACUCAGCGGGUUAAGGAUCCAGUGUUGCCGUGAGCUGUGGUGCAGGUUGCAGACAUGGCUUAGAUCCGGCGUUGCUGUGGCUGUGGUGUAGGUCAGCAGCUGUAGCUCUGAUUCGACCCCUAGCCAGGGAACUUCCAUAUGCCACAGGUUCGGCCCUAAAAA
RNAcentral lists this long non-coding RNA (6372 nucleotides) under Sus scrofa (pig). Its description in RNAcentral is "lncRNA (ENSSSCG00000057770.1)". The record is from RNAcentral. Lineage: Eukaryota; Metazoa; Chordata; Mammalia; Artiodactyla; Suidae.